This is a small nuclear RNA of Sorex araneus (European shrew), 109 nucleotides long. Lineage: Eukaryota; Metazoa; Chordata; Mammalia; Eulipotyphla; Soricidae. The record is from RefSeq and is a predicted model, not a curated record.
GUAUUAUAGCUCCACAUAUACUAAAAUUGGAAUGAUACAGAGAAGAUUAGCAUGGCUCCUGCACAAUAGUAAUGGUGAAUAUUAUUUUUAUGUUAUGUUUAAUAUUUUU